GCCUUCUUAGCACAGUUGGCAGUGCAUCAGUCUCAUAAUCUGAAGGUCCUGAGUUCAAGCCUCAGAGAGGGCA
This is a non-coding RNA of Chelonia mydas (Green sea turtle), 73 nucleotides long. Lineage: Eukaryota; Metazoa; Chordata; Testudines; Cheloniidae. The record is from Rfam.